This 201-nucleotide long non-coding RNA is filed under the name Carica papaya (papaya). RNAcentral's name for it is "long non-coding RNA (CPAP_LNC006370)". The record is from RNAcentral. Lineage: Eukaryota; Viridiplantae; Streptophyta; Magnoliopsida; Brassicales; Caricaceae.
UCAUAUUUUCAUGUAAAAUUUGCAACAUAGCAAAUAUCACAAGUCUAUAUACAUCGUCAAUAAACCAAACAAUAACUGUCAUUUUUUUCACCAACCUACUAGUAUCCAUGGGGUUUCAUAGGGAUGUUCCUGCUACAUGCGAACCCUUUCUUUUAACAAUCUCAAUUACGGGCUGUCCCCAUACUCCGUUCGGUAUGAGCG